RNAcentral lists this ribosomal RNA (484 nucleotides) under uncultured bacterium. RNAcentral's name for it is "partial 16S ribosomal RNA". It matches the Rfam family "Bacterial small subunit ribosomal RNA", at positions 28 to 507 of the family's 1533-position model. The record is from RNAcentral.
AUCGAACGCUGGCGGCAUGCUUUACACAUGCAAGUCGAACGGCAGCGCGGGCUUCGGCUUGUCUGCGAGUGUCGAACGGGUGAGUAAUGCAUCUGAACGUGCUCCGUAGUGGGGGAUAGUCCGGCGAAAACCGGAUUAAUACCGCACACUACCUGAGGGUGAACGCGUGGGACCGAAAUCCCUCGCGCUAUUUGAGCGACCGACGUCGGUUUAGCUAGUUGGUGGGGUAAAGGCCUACCAAGGCGACGAUCCGUAGCUGGUCUGAGUGGGCGACCAGCCACCCUGGGAGUGAGGCACGGCCGAGACUCCGACGGGGAGAAGCAGUGGGGAAUUUUGGAGGAGGGAGGAGACGCGAAUACAGCCAUGUCGCGUGCAGGAAGAUGGCGUGAGGGUUGGAAGACGCUUUUGUUCGGGGGGAAAUCCUCUGCGCUAAUACCCCGGGGGGAUGACGGUACCGGAAGAAUAAGCACCGGCUAACUACGUG